GACGAACGCUGGCGGCGUGCUUAACACAUGCAAGUCGAACGGAAAGGCCCUGCUUUUGUGGGGUGCUCGAGUGGCGAACGGGUGAGUAACACGUGAGUAACCUGCCCUUGACUUUGGGAUAACUUCAGGAAACUGGGGCUAAUACCGGAUAGGAGCUCCCGCUGCAUGGUGGGGGUUGGAAAGUUUCGGCGGUCGGGGAUGGACUCGCGGCUUAUCAGCUUGUUGGUGGGGUAGUGGCUUACCAAGGCUUUGACGGGUAGCCGGCCUGAGAGGGUGGCCGGCCACCAUGGGACUGAGAUACGGCGCAGACUCCUACGGGAGGCAGCAGUGGGAAAUAUUGCACAAUGGGCGGAAGCCUGAUGCGGCAACGCCGCGUGCGGGAUGACGGCCUUCGGGUUGUAAACCGCUUUCGCCUGUGACGAAGCGUGAGUGACGGUAAUGGGUAAAGAAGCACCGGCUAACUACGUG
This 468-nucleotide ribosomal RNA is filed under the name uncultured bacterium. Its description in RNAcentral is "partial 16S ribosomal RNA". It matches the Rfam family "Bacterial small subunit ribosomal RNA", at positions 28 to 507 of the family's 1533-position model. The record is from RNAcentral.